AGUCAUAUGCUUGUCUCAAAGAUUAAGCCAUGCAUGUCUCAGUACAAGCCAAAUUAAGGUGAAACCGCGAAAGGCUCAUUAAAUCAGUUAUGGUUCCUUAGAUCGUACCCACAUUUACUUGGAUAACUGUGGUAAUUCUAGAGCUAAUACAUGCAAACAGAGCUCCGACCGGAGACGGAAGGAGCGCUUUUAUUAGAUCAAAACCAAUCGGCGGCGAGUUCGCUCGUCGUCGUACAAUUUGGUGAAUCUGAAUAACUUUCUGCUGAUCGCAUGGUCUCGCACCGGCGACGCAUCUUUCAAAUGUCUGCCUUAUCAACUGUCGAUGGUAGGUUCUGCGCCUACCAUGGUUGUAACGGGUAACGGGGAAUCAGGGUUCGAUUCCGGAGAGGGAGCCUGAGAAACGGCUACCACAUCCAAGGAAGGCAGCAGGCGCGCAAAUUACCCACUCCCGGCACGGGGAGGUAGUGACGAAAAAUAACGAUACGGGACUCAUCCGAGGCCCCGUAAUCGGAAUGAGUACACUCUAAACCCUUUAACGAGGAUCAAUUGGAGGGCAAGUCUGGUGCCAGCAGCCGCGGUAAUUCCAGCUCCAAUAGCGUAU
Molecule: ribosomal RNA, 601 nt
Filed under: Elminae sp. FC_E03
Lineage: Eukaryota; Metazoa; Arthropoda; Insecta; Coleoptera; Elmidae
Description: SSU rRNA
Rfam family: Eukaryotic small subunit ribosomal RNA
Source: RNAcentral